UCAAAGGAAGUGAUGAACAAACGAUUUCGUGAGUUUUUGGAUGAGUCGACGCCGAUCUCGUGGUCGUGGACAGACGUUCAACCACCACCGCCGUUGUUUCUGUACCGGAGGUAGUCGAAAUCGGAGAGGAGAAGAAGGGUUUAGAUUCGAUUCAGAUUCAGCCGGCGAGAACAUGGCACACUGGCGAUUUCUCCGCGGGCUCUUCUCGCCGGCCGGGGAUGAGCCUCCGUAUGCCGGAAGGAUGGCCACCGUGGCUGAUUUCUGCUUGCGGCGAUUCGAUCAAAGACUUAACACCUCGCAGAGCCACCACAUACGAAAAGCUCGAGAAGAUUGGGCAAGGAACUUAUAGUAAUGUGUACAAGGCGAAAAAUUUAUUGACUGGGAAGAUUGUAGUUUUGAAGAAAGUUAGGUUUGAUAAUUUGGAAGCAGAGAGUGAUUCAUGGCUAGAGAGAUUCUUGUGUUGCGACGGCUUAAUCAUCCUAAUGUUUGGUUACUUUGCGGGUUUCCUGUAGUCUCUACCUUGUUUUUGAGUAUAUGGAGCAUGAUCUUUCUGGUCUUUCUGCUACUCAAGGUCUCAAGUUUGAUCUUCCACAGAGAAGGUAGUAGGAAAAAGAAAGGUUAUGGUGAUGGAGAUUGGAUUUGUACCAACGUACGAGGAUAAAGAUGGAGAUUGGAUGUUGGUUGGUGAUGUUCCAUGGGACAUGUUCUCUUCUUCCUGUAAAAGACUCGGAAUCAUGAAAGGAUGCUCCUGCUCUAGACUCUUCCUUAUGAUCUACAGAAGAUGAGAAGCUUUUGUUUAAAGGAGAUGAUGACUAUGAUCGAUGAUCUCCUUUUUUGUAUAAUACGGACAUAUACAAUUUAUAAAUGUUCUUUUUAUAAAUCGUCUCUAGUGAUGUUCUUUUUGUUUUUGUAUUUAGAUUUGAAGCAGUUUGAUGUAAAGAUACAUGAGGUUUUUGGUAUAAUACGGACAUAUACAAUCUGUAAAUGUACGUAUUAAGUAGCAAUGUUCUAUAAGAUCAGUUUCUAUUCUUGAUCA
RNA transcript from Arabidopsis lyrata subsp. lyrata, 1036 nucleotides. RefSeq lists it as uncharacterized. NCBI's taxonomy places the organism in Eukaryota, Viridiplantae, Streptophyta, Magnoliopsida, Brassicales, Brassicaceae. The record is from RefSeq and is a predicted model, not a curated record. The transcript has 3 exons.